This 71-nucleotide transfer RNA is filed under the name Sphaerodactylus townsendi. Its description in RNAcentral is "tRNA-Gly". The record is from RNAcentral. Lineage: Eukaryota; Metazoa; Chordata; Lepidosauria; Squamata; Sphaerodactylidae.
GGGCCAUGGCUCAGGGGCGGACAAUCUGCUUCCCAUGCAGAAGGCCCCAGGUUCGAUCCCAGGCAUCUCCA